GGUUGCAAACACGGGUUGUUUCUAGUAAAGGAUGUGUAAAGAAUUUUUCAUAGAUUACCCUGGGCAUAAUGUUGAUGCUGGAGCCAAAGUCGCAGAGUGCUUCUGGGAAGUCCACCAUGCCGAUGGAGAUCGGGAUGACGGGGUGUCCUGGAUCGCCUCUCUUGACCGGCAGAAGGUCAGUAAUUACUUCCACAACGGGGUUACUCUAGUAGUUACCUGCAUCCAACAUGUCUACAAAAUUUCC
RNAcentral lists this long non-coding RNA (244 nucleotides) under Sorghum bicolor (sorghum). Its description in RNAcentral is "long non-coding RNA (SBIC_LNC018837)". The record is from RNAcentral. Lineage: Eukaryota; Viridiplantae; Streptophyta; Magnoliopsida; Poales; Poaceae.